RNAcentral lists this transfer RNA (86 nucleotides) under Calditrichota bacterium. RNAcentral describes it as "Calditrichaeota bacterium (activated sludge metagenome) tRNA-Ser". It matches the Rfam family "tRNA". From Rfam's summary of the family: Transfer RNA (tRNA) molecules are approximately 80 nucleotides in length. Their secondary structure includes four short double-helical elements and three loops (D, anti-codon, and T loops). The record is from RNAcentral. RNAcentral also lists the same sequence under 1 other name. Lineage: Bacteria; Pseudomonadati; Calditrichota.
GGAGAGGUGCCAGAGUGGUUGAAUGGGGCGGUCUUGAAAACCGUUGUGCGUUCUGCGUACCGUGGGUUCGAAUCCCACCCUCUCCG